AAGAAGGACCUGAGUGCAGGCUUCCUUGCGAGAAGAUGGGCGUUAAAGUCAGGUGGAGGUAAAGCCAUUAGGUGUGUGAGCAGCACGCAUAAACCAAACCAUUUCAUGAGAGGUGUUGUGCCAAAGUACUAUAGGUAAGGAAAGUCGUCAAAGUGGGAUUAGCUAAAGCGUUGAAAAUGAAUUGGAUUCCAAGUUCGAGGAUGGGUAUUUUCCAAGAGUAGAAGAGCAGGUCGGAGGGCACAGAUGGGUGAACCAAGGGAGUUCUCGCCAUAGGCUAUAGGUACGAGGGUACCCCGAACGUCGAAGGACUGCGAAGGAAAAGAGAGAGUUUUGAACAAAGCAUCUAAUUCACAGAGUAGUGCGCAGAUGUCGGUACUUUGAGACAAGAAGUACUUGCCAAAGGGUACGUCCCAAGAGAGUGUGAGGUGCCUAUGGGCGCGGAGCACACGAGAUGCCAAAAGGUGCCAUGGUGAAGCAUGGGUUUCCAAAGGCUGUUGUGAAUAAUGAUUGGGACAAAGUUUGUAAUUUAGGCUACCUCCAGU
This 542-nucleotide long non-coding RNA is filed under the name Capsicum annuum. RNAcentral describes it as "long non-coding RNA (CANN_LNC010370)". The record is from RNAcentral. Lineage: Eukaryota; Viridiplantae; Streptophyta; Magnoliopsida; Solanales; Solanaceae.